CAGAGUUGGACCUCACCAAGAUGGCCGCCGGGGUGCCCUGUUUGCCCGCCUACGUCCUCGCCAUGUGCAUCCGGCGCGCCGAUGACGUCAACGACGCGCGCCGGAUGCAGUCCCUCCUCAACGCCUCCAUUGCGGCCAUCAAGGACGUGACGCAGGGGCGCCGUGAGUUGGCGCUGAGCUCCUUCUGGUUGGCCAACUGCUG
This 202-nucleotide long non-coding RNA is filed under the name Gallus gallus (chicken). The record is from RNAcentral. Lineage: Eukaryota; Metazoa; Chordata; Aves; Galliformes; Phasianidae.